UCCCUACGGGACGCAGCAGUGGGGAAUAUUGCACAAUGGGGGAAACCCUGAUGCAGCGACGCCGCGUGAGUGAAGAAGUAUUUCGGUAUGUAAAGCUCUAUCAGCAGGGAAGAAGCAAGACGGUACCUGACUAAGAAGCCCCGGCUAACUACGUGCCAGCAGCCGCGGUAAUACGUAGGGGGCAAGCGUUAUCCGGAUUUACUGGGUGUAAAGGGGGCGCAGACGGCGAUGCAAGCCAGGAGUGAAAGCCCGGGGCCCAACCCCGGGACUGCUCUUGGAACUGCGUGGCUGGAGUGCAGGAGGGG
This 305-nucleotide ribosomal RNA is filed under the name uncultured bacterium. RNAcentral's name for it is "bacterial SSU rRNA". It matches the Rfam family "Bacterial small subunit ribosomal RNA", at positions 337 to 657 of the family's 1533-position model. The record is from RNAcentral.